This 433-nucleotide ribosomal RNA is filed under the name uncultured bacterium. RNAcentral's name for it is "bacterial SSU rRNA". It matches the Rfam family "Bacterial small subunit ribosomal RNA", at positions 29 to 457 of the family's 1533-position model. The record is from RNAcentral.
AGUGAACGCUGGCGGUAGGCCUAACACAUGCAAGUCGAACGGCAGCACAGGAGAGCUUGCUCUCUGGGUGGCGAGUGGCGGACGGGUGAGGAAUACAUCGGAAUCUACCUUUUCGUGGGGGAUAACGUAGGGAAACUUACGCUAAUACCGCAUACGACCUACGGGUGAAAGUGGGGGACCGCAAGGCCUCACGCGAUUAGAUGAGCCGAUGUCCGAUUAGCUAGUUGGCGGGGUAAUGGCCCACCAAGGCGACGAUCGGUAGCUGGUCUGAGAGGAUGAUCAGCCACACUGGAACUGAGACACGGUCCAGACUCCUACGGGAGGCAGCAGUGGGGAAUAUUGGACAAUGGGCGCAAGCCUGAUCCAGCCAUACCGCGUGGGUGAAGAAGGCCUUCGGGUUGUAAAGCCCUUUUGUUGGGAAAGAAAUCCUAUC